RNAcentral lists this ribosomal RNA (1470 nucleotides) under uncultured organism. Its description in RNAcentral is "SSU rRNA". It matches the Rfam family "Bacterial small subunit ribosomal RNA". The record is from RNAcentral.
CGAACGCUGGCGGCGUGCCUAAUACAUGCAAGUAGAACGCUGAAGAGAGGAGCUUGCUCUUCUUGGAUGAGUUGCGAACGGGUGAGUAACGCGUAGGUAACCCGCCUUGUAGCGGGGGAUAACUAUUGGAAACGAUAGCUAAUACCGCAUAACAAUAGGUGACACAUGUCAUUUAUUUGAAAGGGGCAAUUGCUCCACUACAAGAUGGACCUGCGUUGUAUUAGCUAGUAGGUGAGGUAACGGCUCACCUAGGCGACGAUACAUAGCCGACCUGAGAGGGUGAUCGGCCACACUGGGACUGAGACACGGCCCAGACUCCUACGGGAGGCAGCAGUAGGGAAUCUUCGGCAAUGGGGGCAACCCUGACCGAGCAACGCCGCGUGAGUGAAGAAGGUUUUCGGAUCGUAAAGCUCUGUUGUAAGUCAAGAACGAGUGUGAGAGUGGAAAGUUCACACUGUGACGGUAGCUUACCAGAAAGGGACGGCUAACUACGUGCCAGCAGCCGCGGUAAUACGUAGGUCCCGAGCGUUGUCCGGAUUUAUUGGGCGUAAAGCGAGCGCAGGCGGUUUGAUAAGUCUGAAGUUAAAGGCUGUGGCUCAACCAUAGUUCGCUUUGGAAACUGUCAAACUUGAGUGCAGAAGGGGAGAGUGGAAUUCCAUGUGUAGCGGUGAAAUGCGUAGAUAUAUGGAGGAACACCGGUGGCGAAAGCGGCUCUCUGGUCUGUAACUGACGCUGAGGCUCGAAAGCGUGGGGAGCGAACAGGAUUAGAUACCCCUGGUAGUCCACGCCGUAAACGAUGAGUGCUAGGUGUUGGAUCCUUUCCGGGAUUCAGUGCCGCAGCUAACGCAUUAAGCACUCCGCCUGGGGAGUACGACCGCAAGGUUGAAACUCAAAGGAAUUGACGGGGGCCCGCACAAGCGGUGGAGCAUGUGGUUUAAUUCGAAGCAACGCGAAGAACCUUACCAGGUCUUGACAUCCCGAUGCUAUUUCUAGAGAUAGAAAGUUACUUCGGUACAUCGGUGACAGGUGGUGCAUGGUUGUCGUCAGCUCGUGUCGUGAGAUGUUGGGUUAAGUCCCGCAACGAGCGCAACCCCUAUUGUUAGUUGCCAUCAUUCAGUUGGGCACUCUAGCGAGACUGCCGGUAAUAAACCGGAGGAAGGUGGGGAUGACGUCAAAUCAUCAUGCCCCUUAUGACCUGGGCUACACACGUGCUACAAUGGUUGGUACAACGAGUUGCGAGUCGGUGACGGCAAGCUAAUCUCUUAAAGCCAAUCUCAGUUCGGAUUGUAGGCUGCAACUCGCCUACAUGAAGUCGGAAUCGCUAGUAAUCGCGGAUCAGCACGCCGCGGUGAAUACGUUCCCGGGCCUUGUACACACCGCCCGUCACACCACGAGAGUUUGUAACACCCGAAGUCGGUGAGGUAACCUUUUGGAGCCAGCCGCCUAAGGUGGGAUAGAUGAUUGGGGUGA